UAAAAGUCGUAACAAGGUUUCCGUAGGUGAACCUGCGGAAGGAUCAUUAUUGUACCAACCGAGACGCAAGGGCUGUCGCCGACCGCAAGGUCGUGCACGCCCGAGCGCUCUCACCCUCAUCCACUUCACACUUGUGCAUCACCGCGUGGUGCCUCCUUUUCAAAGGGGCUCACGUUUUCCACACAAACACCCCCUUUAAGAGAGUUUAGAAUGUCUUUGCGGAUAACACGCAAUCAAUACAACUUUCAACAAUGGAUCUCUUGGCUCUCGCAUCGAUGAAGAACGCAGCGAAAUGCGAUACGUAAUGUGAAUUGCAGAAUUCAGUGAAUCAUCGAAUCUUUGAACGCACCUUGCGCCCCUUGGCAUUCCGAGGGGCACACCCGUUUGAGUGUCGUGACAUCCUCAAAACCUUCUCGGUUUAUUGACCGGAGAAGGGUUUGGACUUUGGAGGCAUCAUGCCGGCUUUGUUCGAAGCCGGCUCCUCUUAAAUGGAUUAGUGGGGUCCCGUUUGCAGCUCCCUUGGCGUGAUAAGAUGCUUUCUACGUCUUGGGACAGGCUCUUGUGACCUGCUUCUAACGGUCUCAUCAGAGACAUUGAUCGGGUUUGCCGCCUUCCGUGGGUGGUAAGCUUGGCCCAGAAACCUUGACCUCAAAUCGGGUGAGACUACCCGCUGAACUUAAGCNNNNNNNNNNNCGGAGGAAAAGAAACUAACGAGGAUUCCCCUAGUAACUGCGAGUGAAGCGGGAAAAGCUCAAAUUUAAAAUCUGGUGGUCUUUGGCCAUCCGAGUUGUAAUUUAGAGAAGCGUCCAUCCGCGCCGGACCGUGCACAAGUCUCCUGGAAUGGAGCAUCAUAGAGGGUGAGAAUCCCGUCUUUGGCAUGGACCCCCGGGGCUUUUGUGAUGCGCUCUCAAAGAGUCGAGUUGUUUGGGAAUGCAGCUCAAAAUGGGUGGUGAACUCCAUCUAAAGCUAAAUACAGGCGAGAGACCGAUAGCGAACAAGUACCGUGAGGGAAAGAUGAAAAGCACUUUGGAAAGAGAGUGAAACAGUACGUGAAAUUGUUGAAAGGGAAACGCUUGAAGUCAGUCGCGUCGGCCGAGACUCAGCCUUGCCCAGGCUUGGCGUACUUCUCGGUCGACGGGUCAGCGUYGAUUUUGCCCCUCGGAUAAUGGCAGAGGGAAGGUGGCACCCUUCCCGGGUGUGUUAUAGCCCUCUGUCGGAUGCGAGGGUCAGGAUCGAGGAACUCAGCACGCGCCUCUUGGCGGUCGGGGCUUCGGCUCACGCUACGUGCUUAGGAUGCUGGCGUAAUGGCUUUAAACGACCCGUCUUGAAACACGGACCAAGGAGUCUAACAUGCACGCGAGUGUUCGGGUGGAAAACCCGUGCGCGUAAUGAAAGUGAAAGUUGGGACCCCUGUCGUGGGGGGCACCGAUGCCCGGACCAGACCUUCUGUGACGGAUCUGCGGUAGAGCGUGCAUGUUGGGACCCGAAAGAUGGUGAACUAUGCCUGAGUAGGGUGAAGCCAGAGGAAACUCUGGUGGAGGCUCGUAGCGAUUCUGACGUGCAAAUCGAUCGUCAAAUUUGGGUAUAGGGGCGAAAGACUAAUCGAACCAUCUAGUAGCUGUCC
RNAcentral lists this ribosomal RNA (1624 nucleotides) under Russula earlei. Its description in RNAcentral is "eukaryotic LSU rRNA". The stretch from base 644 to 1624 matches the Rfam family "Eukaryotic large subunit ribosomal RNA", at positions 1 to 957 of the family's 3401-position model. The record is from RNAcentral. Lineage: Eukaryota; Fungi; Basidiomycota; Agaricomycetes; Russulales; Russulaceae.